UCAUGGCCAUAAACGAGUUCAAAGGGUGAAAAUCCCCAGAGUGGGAUGUGGUACAGCUCUGUAGGCAAAGAGCAACUGCUGCAACACUAGGUCCCAAACAAUGUAGAUUUUGUUGGUGAAUUU
Non-coding RNA from Chelonoidis abingdonii (Abingdon island giant tortoise), 123 nucleotides. The record is from RefSeq and is a predicted model, not a curated record. NCBI's taxonomy places the organism in Eukaryota, Metazoa, Chordata, Testudines, Testudinidae.